UCCCAUCACAUGGCAAUGGCACUGGAAGAAUUCACGGGUUGAUUUUAAUAUUCCCGUGAUCUCUUGGUGGCAUCAUCAUAGUGAGUGGAU
RNAcentral lists this microRNA precursor (90 nucleotides) under Mayetiola destructor (Hessian fly). RNAcentral describes it as "microRNA mir-263". It matches the Rfam family "mir-263 microRNA precursor family". Lineage: Eukaryota; Metazoa; Arthropoda; Insecta; Diptera; Cecidomyiidae. The record is from RNAcentral.